This is a long non-coding RNA of Piliocolobus tephrosceles (Ugandan red Colobus), 1617 nucleotides long. Lineage: Eukaryota; Metazoa; Chordata; Mammalia; Primates; Cercopithecidae. The record is from Ensembl.
AUGAGUUCUUGGGUGCAUGUAGUUUUAUUUAUUUAUUUAUUUAUUUUUUUUUUUUUUUAUUUUUUUUUUUUUUUUAUAUCUCCGUUUUUGUGUUAUUACGCCGUUAUUAUGUUGUACCUUUUUUUUUUUUUUUUUUUUUUUUUUUUUUUUUUUUUUUUUUUUUUUUCUCUUUUUUUUUUUUUUUUUUUUUUUUUUUUUUUUUUUUUUUUUUUUUUUUCCUUUACAGAUAUUCGAAUAAUGUCCGUGACGUCACAAGAAAACAUUGAAAUUGCAGAAUGCAUAAAAGAUUUGUAUGACCAAAAAAAAGUGAAAAAGGAUAAAAUAGACAGUACAUAUUAUGAAACAUUCAAUGAUAUCAUUAUGUAUUUAAAUAAUAAUAAAAAAGUCUUAACAGUUAAUAAUAUAUAUAAAUUAUUUAAAAAUAUUAUGAAAGGUAAUUUAACUAAUUUAAGCUUAUUAUUUUCAAUCGAAAUAAAUAACUACUUAGAAUAUUAUUGUGAAGAUUUUACUAUACAAGAAACACAAUUAGAAGAAUAUAUUUUUAAAAAUGAUGAAGAAAUUAAAGAAACUGAAAAAAAAAAAUAUAAAAUUGAUACUACAUUACAAUUUUUUAAUUCAGAUACAUUAUAUUCCCAAGAUGAAUAUAUAAAUAAUGGAAUAAUGGAAGAUGUUUCUUCUAAUUACAUAAGUAAUGAUAAUGAAUUAAAAAGUUUAUAUAAAUCGAUAAGUGAAAUAAAAAAGGGUCCUACUUAUGAUGUAAAAGAGGAGUUAGAAAAUCACUAUAAUAACACAGGUGUUAAUCGUAGCAAUCGUAACAAUAGUGAGGAUAUUUGGGACGACAUUAGUGACAUUUCUAGUGACAAUAGUAGUGACAUUUUUAGGGACACUAGUAGUAUCAGUAGUAGUAACAGUAGUAGUACCGGUAGUAGUAACAGUAGUAGUAACAGUAGUAGUACCGGUAGUAGUAACAGUAGUAAUAACAGUAGUAAUAACAGUAGUAAUAACAGUAGUAGUACCAGUAGUAGUACCAGUAGUAGUACCAGUAGUAGUGACAAUCAUGGUGGACCCUCAACUAAUAACAAAGUCGACCCGUCAUCUGCAUAUACACAUGUAAACACUUUUGAUACUGUAAAUGAACAUAAAAAAAAUAAGACGACAGGGAUCUCUUUUGAUUCGGAUACAUCUAAUACUCAAGCAUAUAACUAUGAAAAAAAUAAUAGUAAAACAUAUUCUAAUAACUAUAGUCGCCCCAAAAUUACUAAAGAGAGUUUAAAUGCUCCUUUACUAUAUAAUCCAAAUUUAGAAAAAACAAAUGAAAACAUAACAGAAGAAUUAGAUGCCUUUUUUAACAUUAAGAAACAUACGUUAAAUAGUUCAAAAAGGGAAAAAGAAAAUGAACGUAAAUCCGAAAAGGGAAAAAGUAACGAGCAAAAUGAUCAAACUAAAGAAGGAAAUGGUUACACUAAAGAAGGAAAUGGUUACACUAAAGAAGGAAAUGGUCAAACUAAAGAACAAAAUGGUCAAACUAAAGAACAAAAUGGUCAGAACAAUCAUAGUGACGAAUCUCAAUACGAAAACCUAAAUGGUGAUAUGUUUUAUCUAAAAAAAUAUAUGUAG